RNAcentral lists this long non-coding RNA (1060 nucleotides) under Vitis vinifera (wine grape). RNAcentral's name for it is "long non-coding RNA (VVIN_LNC007279)". Lineage: Eukaryota; Viridiplantae; Streptophyta; Magnoliopsida; Vitales; Vitaceae. The record is from RNAcentral.
UCUUUAACUUUUUCGUUUUUCUUUGCCCGCAGGUACAUUUCAUAUAUUUAACUUUAAGCAGCUUCAUUCCUUCAUCAAAUGAGCUUCUUCCAGGUUGGGACCAUAUGAUGGCACUAGCCUUACAUAUCCAUCAUAAGAUGGUGGUUGGUGCGGAAUCCCAUAUCCAGGUGGCAGGGGCCACCACCACGUCCCUCAUAGCAUGACUUACAGCACACUCCAAUUGGAUAGAUGAAUGCUAAAUACCCUGGCGGUGGCGUUGGCGGUGGCGGUGAUCAAAUGAGCUUCUUCCAGGUUGGGACCAUGUGUUGAUGAUGCUACGGAUGCAUCCCUCCCACUCAUUUCUUUACGUACAAUCAUCAAGAUAUUAGUCAACUUUGGUCCCUCGUUACUUUCUUUACCUCAGAUUUGAAUACGCGAUUUCUUUACAUACAAUCAUCAAGAAAAUACUUGUUUGUGUACGUAGUGAAUGCACAUACAUGAGACAUUGACUUGCAGAAUUGUAUAGAACCUGAAAGAUCAUAAAGUUCACAAAUGGUUGCAGAAUUCUCCAGUACCAGAGUUCCAUACCAGUACCUUGUGGGGUAUUCUGAGGAUUGAAACAUUCAGGGCGUCUUCCAAAGGGCCCUUACAAAAGGUGCUUUUGAUAAUCUUUUUAUUCUCCUUUUGAAGUGAAUUAUAAGCAUCUAAGGAUGAAAUCAACAUCUAUUAGUCCACAAAUAUUAUUGGCCUAUACAACCUUUAUGUUGUGGACGAGAAAAGAACCGAAAAGAACUGAUCACCGACUCAACACCCAACUGAGAAAAGGAACUAAAGAAACCAGAUAACGACAAUCACGAUGGAGUAUGAUUCACAUGAUGGUGCAUGUGGGAUUUUCUUCAAUAUCGAAUUCACUGCGGCAACCAUAGCUUCUGUCACAGCGACACCCAGAAGCCCAGCCAUCAUAGGAUGGCACUGGCCUUACAUAUUCAUUAUAAGAUGGUGGUUGGUGCUGAAUCCCAUAUCCAUGGUGGUAGGGGCCACCAUCACGUCCCCCAUAGCAUGACUUACAGUACACUCNNNN